This is an unclassified non-coding RNA of Pongo abelii (Sumatran orangutan), 148 nucleotides long. It matches the Rfam family "Metazoan signal recognition particle RNA". Rfam says of the family: The signal recognition particle (SRP) is a universally conserved ribonucleoprotein. The record is from Ensembl. NCBI's taxonomy places the organism in Eukaryota, Metazoa, Chordata, Mammalia, Primates, Hominidae.
GCUGGGUAUGGUGGUGCAUGCCUGUAAUCCCAGCUACUCGGGAGGCUGAGGCAGGAGAAUCGCUUGAACCCAGGAGGUGGCGGUUGCAGUGAGCCAAGAUCAUGCCACUACACUCCAGCCUGGGCAACAGAGUGAGACUCUGUCUCAA